GUGUUUGCUUUCACAGCCCAUAUACUAAAAUUGGAAUGAUACAGUGAAGAUUAGCAUGGCUCUAGCACAAGGAUGACACACAAAUUCGUGAAGCAAAAGUUAUGGCU
This is a small nuclear RNA of Phascolarctos cinereus (koala), 107 nucleotides long. NCBI's taxonomy places the organism in Eukaryota, Metazoa, Chordata, Mammalia, Diprotodontia, Phascolarctidae. The record is from Ensembl.